RNAcentral lists this ribosomal RNA (433 nucleotides) under uncultured bacterium. Its description in RNAcentral is "partial 16S ribosomal RNA". It matches the Rfam family "Bacterial small subunit ribosomal RNA", at positions 29 to 507 of the family's 1533-position model. The record is from RNAcentral.
AACGAACGCUGGCGGCAUGCCUAACACAUGCAAGUCGAACGAGACCUUCGGGUCUAGUGGCGCACGGGUGCGUAACGCGUGGGAACCUGCCCUUAGGUUCGGAAUAACUCCCCGAAAGGGGUGCUAAUACCGGAUAAUGUCUUCGGACCAAAGAUUUAUCGCCUUUGGAUGGGCCCGCGUUGGAUUAGCUAGUUGGUAGGGUAAAAGCCUACCAAGGCGACGAUCCAUAGCUGGUCUGAGAGGAUGAUCAGCCACACUGGGACUAAGACACGGCCCAGACUCCUACGGGAGGCAGCAGUGGGGAAUAUUGGACCAUGGGCGAAAGCCUGAUGCAGCAAUGCCGCGUGAGUGAUGAAGGCCUUAGGGUUGUAAAGCUCUUUUACCCGGGAUGAUAAUGACAGUACCGGGAGAAUAAGCUCCGGCUAACUCCGUG